GCUACGGGUGGCAGCAGUGAGGCAUAUUGGUCAAUGGUCGGGAGACUGAACCAGCCAAGCCGCGUGAGGGAUGAAGGUACAGAGUAUCGUAAACCUCUUUUGUCAGGGAACAAAGGCGGGGACGUGUCCCCGGCUGAGUGUACCUGACGAAAAAGCAUAGGCUAACUCCGUGCCAGCGUCCGCGGUAAUACGGAGGAUCCGAGCGUUACCCGGAUUGAUUGGGUUUAACGGGUGGGAAGGCGGUCUGUGAAGUAAGCGGUCAAAGCCCGGGGCUCAACCCGGGCCCGCCGUUGAAACUGGCAGUCUCGAGUUGGAGAGAAGUAGGCGGAAGGCGCGGUGUAGCGGUGAAAUGCAUAGAUAUCGCGCAGAACUCCGAUUGCGAAGGCAGCUUACCAAGCUACGUCUGACGUUGAGGCACGAAAGCGUGGGGAGCAAACAGGAUUAGAUACCCUUGUAGUC
This 459-nucleotide ribosomal RNA is filed under the name uncultured bacterium. RNAcentral describes it as "partial 16S ribosomal RNA". It matches the Rfam family "Bacterial small subunit ribosomal RNA", at positions 338 to 795 of the family's 1533-position model. The record is from RNAcentral.